UCACUCCUGUCAUCAGAUUAGUCAACAAACCACUGGUAUUAUUCAGACCUGAAGAUUAUGUUAGGACAUGGUUAGGCAAAGAUGGGAACGCAGCGACCCACAGCAACAAUAUGGCACGAAACCCUGAUCCAAAAGCAGAUGAGAACAUGAAACAUAUCCGGGAGCUUCUGUACCCCUGCCCAUAAAGAAGCUUGCAGAUAAGUGGAGAGGCUGACUCUAGGGAAGCUACAGGAUAGUUGCCCUCCCAAUGGAUCUCAUCAUCUGACCUUGGUUGACUUCUGAAACGUCUAAAAGUCUCAUCUCAUAAGAGCAUGGCUCCAUUUCAAGUCUAAAGCCAGUUGCUCUUUGCUGCUGCUAAAUGCCCCAGGACAAUAGCCUUUAUCCUGGAUAAAUGAAUUGAAGUGGAAAGCGAUGUGGAUUACACCAACGUCCAUAGCUUGUUUCACUUGCUUGACCCUCCACCCCACCAUCUCUCUCUCUUUCUAUUUAAAAAUGGUUCGGCUGCCAUUUAAGUUGCGUUGGUCUAGUUUUAGAGCCCUCACAUUUUCAACUUGAAAUGGGGUUAAUUACUUUUAAGCAAAACCUUUUUUUUUCUGAUGAAAUGUUUAUGGCAAAACAGCUGAGGUGAUACUGAAUGAUGUAUGAAUUUUACCUAGAAAUAGGAGUAGUCAUGCCAUCCCAAACCAGGACAUAGGCAAGUCUGAGCCUGUACAGAACUGUUACAGGGGAACUCCAAUAACCAAAAUGGUCACUGUUCCUCCUUUACUUGCAUUUUGGGAUAUCCUGGUAUAUUAAAUGCUUUACAAUGCCACGAAUUAGAAAGGGACAGUUUUACAGGUAGCAAUAACAUAUAUCAAUGAAAAUAGAUUGAAAGAAAACACUUCUCUUAAGAAUUAUCUAACCUGUUUUCUACAAAAGUCUUGAAAUAUAAAUAGAAAAUUAUUUCUUUAUUUUAAAGUAUGUCUUUUGUGUAACAUUGUUUAGGGCAAAAUGUACAUUCUAUCUUGUUUUUGUGGUAGCUAAUCCACUGCUUCAAGUCAAUAUGACUCCUGUCAGAUGUGUUGAUUUAUUUAACCAGGAAAGAACCCUUGACAUAGACAUCUCAUUUACAACUGGGGUCCUGGCAAGAGAAGACUGCAAGAAACAACAAUAUAAAGUCAAUGGCAAAAGUAGACAGAACAUUCAAAUAGGGCAAAAACUCUUCAAAAAAUCAUGCAAAGUAAAAGUAAUCCAAAAUCGCGUCCGCUCCUCCAAGAAUCAUUCGAUCUCUAUCACAGGUAUAUAAAACAGAUACAACAACAGAGAAUUAUACAAAGGAGAAUAUUAAACAGUAGACCGAGUGCUGUGAUGAGCUGCUGAGCCUAAUCGAGAUGGGAGACAUGAACACUGCUUCAUAAAGAAAAAAUAUAACCACGACCACCACUAAUCCACCGGUACCAUGCUCCUGAAUUUCCAAGAAAGAGAGUUAACUACAGCCAAAAAAGCACCUGGUCCUGGGGGAGCAUCCCACUGAAAAAUGUUUUGUCCUGAUUCAACCUGGCACAACUUCCUAACACAGGGGUUCCCAAACUUUUUUGCUGCGCCUCCCUUCAGAUAUUUUGUUUUUCCUGUCCCCCGCCCCUCUUAUA
Molecule: long non-coding RNA, 1628 nt
Organism: Polyodon spathula (Mississippi paddlefish)
Lineage: Eukaryota; Metazoa; Chordata; Actinopteri; Acipenseriformes; Polyodontidae
Exons: 5
Source: RefSeq, a predicted model, not a curated record